AAACGGGGGGUAACCCCCCCUUAAGCGUAACCCAGGGUGUAGGGUUAGGGGUUACCCAUGUGGCUAUGUACGAAGGGAGGUGGGUAACCUAACCCCGGGGUAGGGGUAACCCCUUACCGAGGGGUAACAAAGGGGUUGGGGUAAUACACUACUGAUGGGUAACAGACAGGGUAACCUGCACCUGUCUCGCCUGUCUACACACGCAAACAUACAUGUCUUCACCAAUCACUUGUGAAUGCCCAAUUAUCAACAUUGACACACCAAAACAUGCCUUGUGUAGAAACCUAGACCUAAGGAUAAGGCACACAGCUGCAGCAUAGAUGCAAGGAGGAGGACGAAGAGGCGUACAUAGGCAGAGCAUAUUGGGGACCGCCGCCAGCGAGAAGCCGCCAGUGAAGCCAAUAAAUAUUCCUAUCAAAAGGUCCAGGCACUUACCGCCGCUCCGGACCCAAGACCUAAAACUCGCGGACCAGCCAACGGGCGGCAAUGUAAGCUUACAUUACCUUAAGGUCGGCCAGUAGCUUAAGUGCCCCGUCCCGACCUGCUACUUCCAGCUCUAGGCACGACCUAUGCAACACUAUCCAGAGUCUGCUCGUUUUCAGAGCAGGCUCUCCUAAGAGCGUCGAAGGUCUUGGGCGGGAGAUCCGACACCCCGAACACGGUCACACCCGGGCGAGUGUAAAGCACCAUCAGGUAAAAAUCCUUGGAUGUCACUGGAUGUCUUGCUAAAUGAGGUGCACCAUAAGUGUGGGCCUGUGCUGCAGAAAGACAGUCAAGGGUCUUGUUGUGGUGGUCCGCGCGCGCGAACGCUAGAACGCCACCAUUAAUGGCAAAAAUAUUUUUGCCGCCAUACGCACCAGUAUUGCAACGUGGAUUAUAUGUGUGCAUUGUAUCUAUGGUCAAUAGGAACAAUGCCAGCAGUGAAUAUGAUUGACUGAAUUCGUGAUAGUGGUCAUCGCUUAUUGUAGCAUGUCCGUCUAAUUAAAAGACCAGACUAUAUGAGCUUACAAGCUAAUUAGCUGUGAUUCAGCUUGAAUGUGCUUGUCAGGAGUAUCAAUGGAGGUAAAGCAGCAUGCACAUAUGCGUACGACCACCCCCGGCCGGUAAUAUGUCGGCCGACCUCAGGACUGAGUGCCUGAUGUUUCACAAUGACAACUAUUAUAUAACAUUGGAUGACAACCAAAGGCAUCCAUUUAGUGAAGACCUGUCGUCGACUUGCGUGUGUGCUGCCAGCAUUCGCCCCUUCUCCUGUACUCAUCUACAAGCCAAACAGGCCAAGACAUAGGUACUUAUUGCUUAUUCCUUGCGUGUGUGAUGCUAGCAUUAGAGACCUUAAGGUUGAAAUGGCAAACGAUGCUUCCCGAGAUACCACGAUACUGUAGGUUGCUAACGUUUACAUUUGUAAAGUAUCCUUAAGCGGAAUUUACGAUGUGGGAAGCAUAUAAGACGAGUAGCCUAUAGGCCCAUACAUAUGUCCAUAGUCCAGGGCAACGGAGAGGUUUACCCUGGGGCCGUGUUACCCCUCCCGCUGGGUAGGAACUUACAAGGGGGUUACCAAACAGCUACCGGGGGUUGAAGAUGGGUAACCCAUGGGUUACUGACCCAAUCAGUGCCUUAGGGCUAGUAGGGUUGCAAGUGUUGCGCU
Molecule: long non-coding RNA, 1645 nt
Filed under: Volvox carteri
Lineage: Eukaryota; Viridiplantae; Chlorophyta; Chlorophyceae; Chlamydomonadales; Volvocaceae
Description: long non-coding RNA (VCAR_LNC001891)
Source: RNAcentral